AAGGAAUAUUGGUCAAUGGGCGCAAGCCUGAACCAGCUAUGCUACGUGCAGGAGUUAUGUAAACUGCUUUUUUAUAAGAUAAAACUCUUUUUGCGAAAAGAUAUGAUAGUAUUAUAAGAAUAAGUACCGGCUAAUUACGUGCCAGCAGCUGCGGUAAUACGUAAGGUACAAGUGUUACUCGGAUUUAUUGGGUUUAAAGCGUGCGUAGAUGGAUUUUUAAGUUAGUAGUAAAAUAUUAGAGCUCAACUCUAUUAAGCUAUUAAUACUGAUUAUCUUGAGUUUCUUUUAGGUAGGCAUAAUUUACAGUGUAGUGGUGGAAUACUUAAAUAUUGUAAGGAAUAUCUUUAGCGUAGGCAGCUUACUCGGUAAAACUGACAUUGAUAGCACGAAAGGCGGGUAGCAAAC
This 405-nucleotide ribosomal RNA is filed under the name uncultured bacterium. RNAcentral's name for it is "bacterial SSU rRNA". It matches the Rfam family "Bacterial small subunit ribosomal RNA", at positions 356 to 773 of the family's 1533-position model. The record is from RNAcentral.